GAUAGCCCCAGACCAUACCCAAAUCAAUAUUGGGCUCAACAGUACGAACAGCUCCAAGUGAGGCAUCGUAAAUGCCGUGGACUCGAGCCCAUUCAACGAAGGCGAUGACACCCAGACCAAGGAAAAUCAGGUGAUGACCAAGGAUAAAAGUGAGCUUCUUGGGAUCAUCCCA
This 172-nucleotide antisense RNA is filed under the name Synechococcus sp. MIT S9508. Its description in RNAcentral is "Antisense RNA which regulates isiA expression". It matches the Rfam family "Antisense RNA which regulates isiA expression". The record is from Rfam by way of RNAcentral. Lineage: Bacteria; Bacillati; Cyanobacteriota; Cyanophyceae; Synechococcales; Synechococcaceae.